AAACAGGGCAAUGGCUCAUCCUAGAGCUGAGAAGGAAAGAGAGGCUGCUUCUACCAGGUUCUCCAUCCUGCAACACAAGGCUUUGGUAUCAGGAUGCUGCUGGCCUCAUAAAAUGAGUUAGGGAGGAUUCCCUCUUUUUCUAUUGAUUGGAAUAGUUUCAGAAGGAAUGGUACCUGCUCCUCUUUAUACCUCUGGUAGAAUUCGGCUGUGAAUCCAUCUGGUCCUGGACUUUUUUUGGACAGCAGUUGGUUGACAUUUAAAGGGCCACUGUCCCAGAAGGCUGCUUGCCUUGGCCCAUGGCACUGGCAGAAAUCUCAAGACCAAGCUGAAAAAGCACAAAGAAAUUUCCUUUGGUUCCAGGAACCUCUUGGCUUGAAUAGGAAAUAGCCUCUUAGUGACACUACACUGCAAUUUCAAAUAACAGGUUUUUUAUCACCUCUUUGAGAAAUAUCACCUUGGGUUCAUCUCAGAAAAAAAAUACAAAGUAGAAUUUUUUCAAACUUAAUACCCUUGGGUUCAUCUCAGAAAAAAAUAGAAAGUAGAAUUCUUUCAAACUUAAUCCCC
This 564-nucleotide long non-coding RNA is filed under the name Pongo abelii (Sumatran orangutan). RNAcentral describes it as "lincRNA". The record is from RNAcentral. Lineage: Eukaryota; Metazoa; Chordata; Mammalia; Primates; Hominidae.